Molecule: ribosomal RNA, 433 nt
Filed under: uncultured bacterium
Lineage: Bacteria
Description: partial 16S ribosomal RNA
Rfam family: Bacterial small subunit ribosomal RNA
Source: RNAcentral
AACGAACGCUGGCGGCAUGCCUAACACAUGCAAGUCGAACGAGACCUUCGGGUCUAGUGGCGCACGGGUGCGUAACGCGUGGGAACCUGCCCUUAGGUUCGGAAUAACUCCCCGAAAGGGGUGCUAAUACCGGAUAAUGUCUUCGGACCAAAGAUUUAUCGCCUUUGGAUGGGCCCGCGUUGGAUUAGCUGGUUGGUAGGGUAAAAGCAUACCAAGGCGACGAUCCAUAGCUGGUCUGAGAGGAUGAUCAGCCACACUGGGACUGAGACACGGCCCAGACUCCUACGGGAGGGAGCAGUGGGGAAUAUUGGACAAUGGGCGAAAGCCUGAUCCAGCAAUGCCGCGUGAGUGAUGAAGGCAUUAGGGUUGUAAAGCUCUUUUACCCGGGAUGAUAAUGACAGUACCGGGAGAAUAAGCUCCGGCUAACUCCGUG